RNAcentral lists this non-coding RNA (138 nucleotides) under Bacillus sp. (in: firmicutes). Its description in RNAcentral is "Bacillus sp. FMN sequence". It matches the Rfam family "FMN riboswitch aptamer (RFN element)". Rfam says of the family: The RFN element is a highly conserved domain that is found frequently in the 5'-untranslated regions of prokaryotic mRNAs that encode for flavin mononucleotide (FMN) biosynthesis and transport proteins. This element is a metabolite-dependent riboswitch that directly binds FMN in the absence of proteins. The record is from RNAcentral. Lineage: Bacteria; Bacillati; Bacillota; Bacilli; Caryophanales; Bacillaceae.
AUCUAUCUUCGGGGCAGGGUGCAAUUCCCGACCGGCGGUAAUGAAACAAAUGUUUCUAGCCCGCGAGCCGUUUGCAGUUUGGCAGGAUCUGGUGUGAUUCCAGAGCCGACAGUAUAGUCUGGAUGGGAGAAGAUGGAG